This 539-nucleotide ribosomal RNA is filed under the name uncultured bacterium. RNAcentral describes it as "bacterial SSU rRNA". It matches the Rfam family "Bacterial small subunit ribosomal RNA", at positions 966 to 1503 of the family's 1533-position model. The record is from RNAcentral.
GAACUUUACCCGGCCUUGACAUCCCCUUGACAGUAUCUGUAAGGGAUAUUUCCUUCGGGACAGGGGAGACAGGUGGUGCAUGGUUGUCGUCAGCUCGUGUCGUGAGAUGUUGGGUCAAGUCCCGCAACGAGCGCAACCCCUGCCCCCAGUAGCCAGCAUUUAAGAUGGGCACUCUGGGGGGACUGCCGGGGAUAACCCGGAGGAAGGCGGGGAUGACGUCAAAUCAUCAUGCCCCUUAUGGCCGGGGCUACACACGUGCUACAAUGGCGUAAACAGAGGGAGGCGAGACAGCGAUGUUAAGCGAACCCCAAAAAUAACGUCCCAGUUCGGAUUGCAGCCUGCAACUCGGCUGCAUGAAGCUGGAAUCGCUAGUAAUCGCGGAUCAGAAUGCCGCGGUGAAUACGUUCCCGGGUCUUGUACACACCGCCCGUCACACCAUGGGAGUCGGGAACGCCCGAAGCCGGUGACCGAACCCGAAAGGGGAGGAGCCGUCGAAGGCGGGCCUGGUGACUGGGGUGAAGUCGUAACAAGGUAACCGU